RNAcentral lists this ribosomal RNA (468 nucleotides) under uncultured bacterium. Its description in RNAcentral is "partial 16S ribosomal RNA". It matches the Rfam family "Bacterial small subunit ribosomal RNA", at positions 28 to 507 of the family's 1533-position model. The record is from RNAcentral.
GACGAACGCUGGCGGCGUGCUUAACACAUGCCAGUCGAACGGAAAGGCCCUGCUUUUGUGGGGUGCUCGAGUGGCGAACGGGUGAGUAACACGUGAGUAACCUGCCCUUGACUUUGGGAUAACUUCAGGAAACUGGGGCUAAUACCGGAUAGGAGCUCCUGCUGCAUGGUGGGGGUUGGAAAGUUUCGGCGGUUGGGGAUGGACUCGCGGCUUAUCAGCUUGUUGGUGGGGUAGUGGCUUACCAAGGCUUUGCCGGGUAGCCGGCCUGAGAGGGUGACCGGCCACAUUGGGACUGAGAUACGGCCCAGACUCCUACGGGAGGCAGCGGUGGGGAAUAUUGCACAAUGGGCGGAAGCCUGAUGCAGCAACGCCGCGUGCGGGAUGACGGCCUUCGGGUUGUAAACCGCUUUCGCCUGUGACGAAGCGUGAGUGACGGUAAUGGGUAAAGAAGCACCGGCUAACUACGUG